Molecule: ribosomal RNA, 369 nt
Filed under: uncultured bacterium
Lineage: Bacteria
Description: partial 16S ribosomal RNA
Rfam family: Bacterial small subunit ribosomal RNA
Source: RNAcentral
CCUACGGGUGGCAGCAGUGGGGAAUAUUGCGCAAUGGGCGAAAGCCUGACGCAGCGACGCCGCGUGAGGGAUGAAGGUCUUCGGAUCGUAAACCUCUGUCAGCAGGGAAGAACGGUCACUGUGCUAAUCAGCAGUGAAUUGACGGUACCUGCAAAGGAAGCACCGGCUAACUCCGUGCCAGCAGCCGCGGUAAUACGGAGGGUGCGAGCGUUAAUCGGAAUUACUGGGCGUAAAGCGCGCGUAGGCGGUAUGUCAAGUCAAGGGUGAAAUCCCCGCGCUCAACGUGGGAACGGCCGUGGAAACUGGUUAACUAGAGUGUAUGAGAGGUAGGCGGAAUGCCUGGUGUAGCGGUGAAAUGCGUAGAUAUCA